AGUUUUUUCGGUGUGGGAUGAGCUCGCGGCCUAUCAGCUUGUUGGUGGGGUAAUGGCCUACCAAGGCGUCGACGGGUAGCCGGCCUGAGAGGGUGUACGGCCACAUUGGGACUGAGAUACGGCCCAGACUCCUACGGGAGGCAGCAGUGGGGAAUAUUGCACAAUGGGCGCAAGCCUGAUGCAGCGACGCCGCGUGGGGGAUGACGGCCUUCGGGUUGUAAACUCCUUUCGCCAGGGACGAAGCGUUUUGUGACGGUACCUGGAUAAGAAGCACCGGCUAACUACGUGCCAGCAGCCGCGGUAAUACGUAGGGUGCGAGCGUUGUCCGGAAUUACUGGGCGUAAAGAGCUCGUAGGUGGUUUGUCGCGUCGUUUGUGUAAUACCGCAGCUUAACUGCGGGGUUGCAGGCGAUACGGGCAUAACUUGAGUGCUGUAGGGGAGACUGGAAUUCCUGGUGUAGCGGUGGAAUGCGCAGAUAUCAGGAGGAACACCGAU
Molecule: ribosomal RNA, 495 nt
Filed under: Corynebacterium sp.
Lineage: Bacteria; Bacillati; Actinomycetota; Actinomycetes; Mycobacteriales; Corynebacteriaceae
Description: bacterial SSU rRNA
Rfam family: Bacterial small subunit ribosomal RNA
Source: RNAcentral